AGCCGCGGGUAUUCCAGCUCUCAAAAUGCAUAGAAUUAUUGCUGCGGUUAAAAAGCUCGUAGUUGGAUCUGUGCCGACAGACUGGUCCAUCUUCGGAUGCGUACUGGUUAUUGUCGGCUUUCCUGCAGUUUUGCGGCUCAGUGCCUCUCACGGGGUGCAGUGUCCGUUGCUGCAAGUUUACUUUGAACAAAUCAGAGUGCUCUAAACAGGCGUUUCGCUUGAAUGUUCGUGCAUGGAAUAAUAGAAGAGGAUUUCGGUUCUAUUUUAUUGGUUUUAUAGACUGAGAUAAUGGUUAACAGAGACAAACGGGGGCAUUCGUAUUGCUACGUGAGAGGUGAAAUUCUUGGACCGUAGCAAGACGAACUACAGCGAAAGCAUUUGCCAAGAAUGUCUUCAUUAAUCAAGAACGAAAGUCAGAGGUUCGAAGGCGAUCAGAUACCGCCCUAGUU
This 449-nucleotide ribosomal RNA is filed under the name Pratylenchus scribneri. RNAcentral describes it as "SSU rRNA". It matches the Rfam family "Eukaryotic small subunit ribosomal RNA", at positions 572 to 1025 of the family's 1831-position model. Lineage: Eukaryota; Metazoa; Nematoda; Chromadorea; Rhabditida; Pratylenchidae. The record is from RNAcentral.